AGGUCUUGACAUCCCGAUGCUAUUUCUAGAGAUAGAAAGUUACUUCGGUACAUCGGUGACAGGUGGUGCAUGGUUGUCGUCAGCUCGUGUCGUGAGAUGUUGGGUUAAGUCCCGCAACGAGCGCAACCCCUAUUGUUAGUUGCCAUCAUUCAGUUUGGGCACUCUAGCGAGACUGCCGGUAAUAAACCGGAGGAAGUGGGAUGACGUCAAAUCAUCAUGCCCCUUAUGACCUGGGCUACACACGUGCUACAAUGGUUGGUACAACGAGUUGCGAGUCGGUGACGGCGAGCUAAUCUCUUAAAGCCAAUCUCAGUUCGGAUUGUAGGCUGCAACUCGCCUACAUGAAGUCGGAAUCGCUAGUAAUCGCGGAUCAGCACGCCGCGGUGAAUACGUUCCCGGGCCUU
RNAcentral lists this ribosomal RNA (404 nucleotides) under uncultured Streptococcus sp. RNAcentral describes it as "bacterial SSU rRNA". It matches the Rfam family "Bacterial small subunit ribosomal RNA", at positions 976 to 1382 of the family's 1533-position model. The record is from RNAcentral. Lineage: Bacteria; Bacillati; Bacillota; Bacilli; Lactobacillales; Streptococcaceae.